CACAGGUUUGGUCCCAGCCUUCCUAUUGACCACUAAUAGAUUUACACAUGCAAGUAUCUUCAUCCUAGUGAAAAUGCCCUACAAGUCAACAAGACUAAAAGGAGCCGGUAUCAAGCACACACCUGUAGCUCAUGACGCCUUGCUCAGCCACGCCCCCACGGGAAACAGCAGUGAUAAAAAUUAAGCCAUAAACGAAAGUUUGACUAAGUCAUGUUAGUUAGGGUUGGUAAAUUUCGUGCCAGCCACCGCGGUCAUACGAUUAACCCAAGUUAAUAGGUCCACGGCGUAAAGCGUGUUUAAGCACUAUAUCAAAUAAAGUUAAAUUCCAAUUAAGCUGUAAAAAGCCAUAAUCGAAAUGAAAAUAAGUAACGAAAGUGACUUUACAAUCGCCGAAACACGAUAGCUAAGAUCCAAACUGGGAUUAGAUACCCCACUAUGCUUAGCCCUAAACACAAAUAGUUAUAUAAACAAGACUAUUCGCCAGAGUACUACCGGCAAUAGCUUAAAACUCAAAGGACUUGGCGGUGCUUUAUACCCUUCUAGAGGAGCCUGUUCUAUAAUCGAUAAACCCCGAUAGACCUUACCACCCCUUGCUAAUUCAGUCUAUAUACCGCCAUCUUCAGCAAACCCUAAAAAGGAACAAAAGUAAGCAUAAUCAUCAUACAUAAAAACGUUAGGUCAAGGUGUAACCUAUGGAGUGGAAAGAAAUGGGCUACAUUUUCUAAUAUAAGAAAAUUCUUUACGAAAGUUAUUAUGAAAUUAAUAACUAAAGGAGGAUUUAGCAGUAAACUAAGAACAGAGUGCUUAGUUGAAUUAGGCCAUGAAGCACGCACACACCGCCCGUCACCCUCCUCAAGCAGAUACAAUAUAUUUAAAUUUAUUUACACAUAUUAAUCAUGUAAGAGGAGAUAAGUCGUAACAAGGUAAGCAUACUGGAAAGUGUGCUUGGAUAAU
RNAcentral lists this non-coding RNA (954 nucleotides) under Subulo gouazoubira (gray brocket). RNAcentral's name for it is "Mazama gouazoupira (gray brocket) 12S ribosomal RNA". It matches the Rfam family "Bacterial small subunit ribosomal RNA". Lineage: Eukaryota; Metazoa; Chordata; Mammalia; Artiodactyla; Cervidae. The record is from RNAcentral.